RNAcentral lists this ribosomal RNA (335 nucleotides) under uncultured Planctomycetales bacterium. RNAcentral describes it as "bacterial SSU rRNA". It matches the Rfam family "Bacterial small subunit ribosomal RNA", at positions 473 to 806 of the family's 1533-position model. Lineage: Bacteria; Pseudomonadati; Planctomycetota; Planctomycetia; Planctomycetales. The record is from RNAcentral.
CAAAGGCCCCAAAGGAAGCCACGGCUAACUCUGUGCCAGCAGCCGCGGUAAUACAGAGGUGGCAAGCGUUGUUCGGUAUUAUUGGGCGUAAAGAGCACGUAGGUGGUUCUGUAAGUCAGAUGUGAAAGCCUUCUGUUCAAAGGAAGAACGGCAUCUGAAACUACAGAUCUUGAGUGUAAGAGGGGAGAGUGGAACUUCUGGUGGAGCGGUGAAAUGCGUAGAUAUCAGAAGGAACGUCGGCGGCGAAAGCGACUCUCUGGCCUAUUACUGACACUGAGUGUGCGAAAGUUAGGGGAGCAAACGGGAUUAGAUACCCCGGUAGUCCUAACUGUAAA